This 253-nucleotide ribosomal RNA is filed under the name uncultured bacterium. Its description in RNAcentral is "partial 16S ribosomal RNA". It matches the Rfam family "Bacterial small subunit ribosomal RNA", at positions 524 to 776 of the family's 1533-position model. The record is from RNAcentral.
UACAGAGGGGGCAAGCGUUGUUCGGAAUUACUGGGCGUAAAGGGCGCGUAGGCGGCCUCUUAAGUCGAACGUGAAAUCCCCGGGCUCAACCCGGGAACUGCGUCCGAUACUGGGAGGCUUGAAUCCGGGAGAGGGAUGUGGAAUUCCAGGUGUAGCGGUGAAAUGCGUAGAUAUCUGGAGGAACACCGGUGGCGAAGGCGGCAUCCUGGACCGGUAUUGACGCUGAGGCGCGAAAGCGUGGGGAGCGAACAGG